AUAGUUAAUUUGCAGCUGCAGUUUCUUCCUUCUACUACCAUACAGCAUACACAGAUGGUCCAGGAGCUGGGGGAAAUUCUGCAGCAGAAAAGCAGAGGAAAUGUGGGGAUGGAAGCUGACUUUGUCCAUCCAGUACCAGCCAGAAGCACACAGGCUGACACACAACAUCUCCAGCAUGUGUGAGGCUUACCCCUCCAGGUGCCCUCUCCGUGCAACAGGCCUGCUGUUAUCCUUGCAGCCACACUGGGACUUGAUUUCACAGGGAAAAAGAAUUUGGGUGUGAGCAGAAGGCACCACUGAAGUGAAGUACACAGGAGAGGUGAGAAGUCAUUGAGACUCAAAACAGGAAAUUAACACCCUGCGGUGCGGCGGCAGAGCCUCAGAGGAAGCAGCAGCGGGCUACAUGAGGCCGAGGAUGAACAAAGCCCCAUAAACAUAACGUCACCCAUAAAAGUCACACUUGAAGGCACAGGAAGGAUACUGAACAACACUUGGCUGCAUUACACACUUGCAGUGAAAAGAAAGCCUCGGGUUGAGAGGCAGAACAUUUGCAAGGCACUUAUUUUUCGAAAUACUCGCCGCGGCUUUUAUUUUGAGCGAGGCACUUCAAAGUUCGGUAUAGGAAAUACCCAAGAAGCUCACAAAUGUUGCCUUUCCACUCGACACGUGGCUCAGGGCUGAGAUAUUGCUUUUUAUCUAUCUCCCUGUUUAUUUGGGUUGUUUCCUCUUCGUAAGGGGUUCCACUUUUCUGCAGGCAGCUGGAUGGAUUUCCACUGUUACCAUGGCAUUGCUGACCUUUAACAUGGGGCUGUUAACACGACCUUUGCUUCUUUCCAUUCCUACAAGGAUGUUUCAGUGUAAAUAAUGUGGAAGCCAAACAGCACCAGGAGAUUCCUCCUCUGGGAGUUGGGAAUGCAGCUCGCUCAGCUAGGAGAGGAACAGGGCAAGAGCUGCAAGCUCGUAGCUGACAGCUAAUGGCAACAAAAAACUGUCUCAAACAGAACUCUUCUGCCCCUAAGAGAUGCCUGGCAACAACUUUUACAAUACUUAACACUACCUGUGAUCUGCCCUCUCUUGAAAGCAGAGGACAGGGCCGACCAUAAGCAGCUGCAGGAGCCCAAGGGCAGACUCUGCAGGGCGGAGUGGGGUAACAGAGCCUUAGGAUGAAGAAAUAUUGGCAAUAUUGCUUAAGAUGGCUAUUGUAACUCCUAACAUUUUUAAAGCCUGAAAGGCUGUCACAAACAGAGGGGAAGUUCACUUUUUAAGAAAAACAUACAUUUUACAGAAUUUCAAUUAAAACAACACCAGAAACCACCUAAAUCACUAUUUAAAAAAAAAAAGAGGAAAACCCUCUGUUGUAGCCUUUAUCUAAUAUAUUCUUUGCCUCAAGCAACUCUUAACAUAGUUAUAUAAAUUCUAUUAACUUAAAUGAAAGGAAAAUCCAAAGUUUCAUGGGGCAGUAGAAAUUGCUGCUGCAAAUUAGACCAGUCUGCAGCCUACUGUACUGAGGGGAACUUUAAAAGAUUUCUGCCAGACUCCUCAGGCAUGAAGUGAUAUUUUGAACAUUGUAACAGUGGCUAGAAGCUUCAGGAAAAGGUGUGCAUUAUUGGGAAAAAGUUUUGUUCACAGUGGGAGUUUCCUCUAAUCCUGCAAAGAUUUAGAAUUAAUUUUUCAAGAGAGACCAAAUAAUACCCUAAAUUCCACUAAAAUUCGAUAGGAUUUAUGUGCCUAACAUCCUAAGUCCUAAGCUUUUAUGUUGGGCUUAUGCAGUAGAGCAUGAGAGGGAGAUAUUUCAUAUAUAACUCCAAUAGUUCAGAUUAUAGUCAAAUAAUCCAAACCACCUGUGGAUCACUGCAGUCAAAAAAUUGUAGAGGGAGGGUUUUUUUUUUUUUUCCCCUCUUUUCUGAUUUUUAAAGCGGGAUUUCCAGUUCCUUUAGGAUUGGAGCAGACUCUGAAAAGCACAACUGCUGAGUGAGUGCCAGAGCAGCCCCAGGGCUGUGCUGGUGCUCGGGCUGCUCCCAGAGGCACCCCGUGAGCAGCUGAGCCCCGUGCUCAUGCAGAGACAGCACAGCUGCAGAGCUCCCUGGGCCUGGGCAAUCCCCAGCCAGGAAAAGCAGUCAGCUUGGAGUUCUUCAAGCUGCUGGAGCAGCACAUGGGUGCUAGAUCAGCUUUGGGUAUGGUGUCUCAGAAUUUCCAGUACUAACACAAAAUAUGCUACAGAGUUCGAAUCACUUCACUGACUUUGUAGAGAUUGUCUAGAAGUGACUUAAGAUGAUUUAAAAAAAAAAGAUAAAAUCAAAUUACUAAUAUAAAUCAGUAGCAUUUUAAGGGGGUACUUCUUGUGGAUUCCUAAUGACUUUUUUUUAAACACACAGGACUAAAAUACUAAAGAUAAGGUCACUUGAAAUGUCAUCUGAACCCUGGCAGCUUGAACACGUGGUUUCUCAAACACUGGUUUCAGAUAAAACUGUGUUCUUUCAGAUACUGAUGCAAAAAUCUGAGCGAGAAAAGUACCAAAAUAAAUUUAAAAGCCUUCCACUAGCAAACAGGAAGCUAGAGCAGCACCAAGAAGUUAUGCUGUUCACUGGGGAUCCGUUCAAAUCAGAUGCUGUUGAAGAGAUUCAACCCAAACGAGGAUGCCAUGAAGACAAGUUUAAAUACAUGUCACAGAUUCAAGUGGAACCUAAAAUUAGUACAGAGUGUUUUGUCUCCUCUCUCUAUAUUGCUGUCCUAUGUAAUGAGAUCAUCUUGUUGUUAGAGCCAAAUGCUCUCUUUCACUGCUGUUGCUAUGAGAGGCUGACAGAAGCUGCCAAGACCUCUCGCGAGGCAUUUUAAAUGAAAAUCUAUAUAAAUUUUUAACUGUCUUUUUUAUCACCAUACAAUGUCUUACAGAGUUAAGAUUCUGAUAUGGCAAUUAUUUACCUUGCAAAACCAGUUAAGCUGUGCCUGAUUUCACAGCAUAUAGCUGAUAAGUGGGUACAUAUAAUGUUAGUAAUAUUUGUUUGAGUGGAAAACCUGAGAUGGGAGUUGGUUGCUAUGGGCUUUUGAGGCACUUAUAUAAAAAUUAAAAUUGGAAUAGGCUCAAAGA
Long non-coding RNA from Haemorhous mexicanus (house finch), 3088 nucleotides. RefSeq lists it as uncharacterized. Lineage: Eukaryota; Metazoa; Chordata; Aves; Passeriformes; Fringillidae. The transcript is spliced from 2 exons. The record is from RefSeq and is a predicted model, not a curated record.